UUUGGAUGGAUAAACCCAUUGCCUACGUACCAUCUUAAAAAAGAUUAGGAUCAAAACCUCGUAGUUCGGGGUAAAAAAUCUUAAAAUGAGUUGGUGAAUUGAUUGGUCCAAAAGCCUUAAGGUCUUUUGUUAUCCAAGGGAGAAAACUCAACCUAAAACCAUAAAUCCACCAUGUGAAGAUAGCUUCGACAUGCUAGUGAGGGGUUAGCCCUAUAAUAAGCAUGGAAGACUCAUUGUCC
Molecule: long non-coding RNA, 239 nt
Filed under: Lathyrus oleraceus (garden pea)
Lineage: Eukaryota; Viridiplantae; Streptophyta; Magnoliopsida; Fabales; Fabaceae
Description: Pisum sativum (pea) long non-coding RNA (PSAT_LNC030657)
Source: RNAcentral